RNAcentral lists this microRNA (23 nucleotides) under Bovine leukemia virus. RNAcentral's name for it is "BLV-miR-B1-5p". Lineage: Riboviria; Pararnavirae; Artverviricota; Revtraviricetes; Ortervirales; Retroviridae. The record is from RNAcentral.
UGGCUUAGUGGAAUAGUCAGUGU